Molecule: ribosomal RNA, 483 nt
Filed under: uncultured bacterium
Lineage: Bacteria
Description: bacterial SSU rRNA
Rfam family: Bacterial small subunit ribosomal RNA
Source: RNAcentral
UUGAACGCUGGCGGCAUGCCUUACACAUGCAAGUCGAACGGCAGCACGGGAGCAAUCCUGGUGGCGGAGUGGCGAACGGGUGAGUAAUAUAUCGGAACGUGCCCAGGUCGUGGGGGAUAACGUAGCGAAAGCUACGCUAAUACCGCAUACUAUCUAUGGAUGAAAGCGGGGAUCGCAAGACCUCGCGCGAUUGGAGCGGCCGAUAUCAGAUUAGGUAGUUGGUGAGGUAAAGGCUCACCAAGCCGACGAUCUGUAGCUGGUCUGAGAGGACGACCAGCCACACUGGGACUGAGACACGGCCCAGACUCCUACGGGAGGCAGCAGUGGGGAAUUUUGGACAAUGGGCGCAAGCCUGAUCCAGCAAUGCCGCGUGCAGGAUGAAGGCCUUCGGGUUGUAAACUGCUUUGUACGGAACGAAACGGUGAGCUCUAAUACAGUUUGCUAAUGACGGUACCGUAAGAAUAAGCACCGGCUAACUACGUG